GCGCCCGUAGCUCAAUUGGAUAGAGCACCAGACUACGAAUCUGGGGGUUGUCGGUUCGAUUCCGGCCGGGCGCGCCA
This 77-nucleotide transfer RNA is filed under the name Deltaproteobacteria bacterium. RNAcentral's name for it is "tRNA-Arg". It matches the Rfam family "tRNA". From Rfam's summary of the family: Transfer RNA (tRNA) molecules are approximately 80 nucleotides in length. Their secondary structure includes four short double-helical elements and three loops (D, anti-codon, and T loops). Further hydrogen bonds mediate the characteristic L-shaped molecular structure. tRNAs have two regions of fundamental functional importance: the anti-codon, which is responsible for specific mRNA codon recognition, and the 3' end, to which the tRNAs corresponding amino acid is attached (by aminoacyl-tRNA synthetases). tRNAs cope with the degeneracy of the genetic code in two manners: having more than one tRNA (with a specific anti-codon) for a particular amino acid; and 'wobble' base-pairing, i.e. permitting non-standard base-pairing at the 3rd anti-codon position. The record is from RNAcentral. Lineage: Bacteria; Pseudomonadati; Myxococcota; Myxococcia.